Long non-coding RNA from Struthio camelus australis, 1112 nucleotides. Lineage: Eukaryota; Metazoa; Chordata; Aves; Struthioniformes; Struthionidae. The record is from Ensembl.
CUCCCUGCUCUCACACCCUGGCUCUGCUGAGGAUUGAUAUCUCCCCUCGUCCUGCUGUUCCCUCCCCCCUCUUCUUAAAAAAAAAAAAAAAUUAUUUAAUCCUUCCAACACCUGUCCCAGCUUUUGGGAACUUGUGAUAAAGGGAAAUGAAAAGACCCCUUUCCAAUUGUAUCAAAACCCAGUGAACAACACAACAGGCUGUGGGUAAUUAAACAAGAAAUGUUGCAUGAGCACUGGGCAGGUGUUGGAGAAGACUGUAUGUAUGGACACACCAUGUCCCUUGAGAACUGUGUGGAAAAUGCAAGGCUGUGUCUUUGCAAUGAUAAAAUGAUCUGUUUGCGAGUCCUCGGCCAGAUCGUGAGCUUCUUGGACAUUUAGAUUGAUUUCUGCCAACAUAAUUCAUAUUUGAUCUCACUUCCUCAGACCUUAUCCUUUUUUACCUGUGUGUUUCUUUUUUCUGCCUGCCUAGCAUGAUGCCCAUCUCCCCAGUAACCGACUCUCUCCUACGCUCUUUCAGAUGAAUUCAGGGCUGCUGCGUUGCUGAACAAUACUUCCACUGCCUUAAUGUGUGGGAAACACAUUAGGUCAGCCGCUUCACCAGCUGCACAAAGUCACAGAGAGGCUCUGGGCAGAGCCCAAGGCUAGCACCCAGCUUGUCACUAACCACAUUCCUCUUUCCCCGUUCCCGUUUGUGUUGUACAGCGCAGCGGAGGGCCUGCCGAUUUGGGGCUUCUUGGGUAAUGCCUAUUCCAGUGCAGCAGCGUUCCUCGGCUGUAAUGAAGCACCUUGUAAAUUAUGUAUAACGGCGCAACAUUAUUCCUGGCAAAAUAUUCCUGUCAGGACAUUCGUCCUUGUAAAUCAUCGCAGAAGUUCUUCAUUUGACUGCUUGGCCUAGGUGAGAUGUAACACUCCUACUAACUGAUUAGGAGAAAUAGAAGGGAAAGGAAGUGGUUGCCUCCAGGUUUCUACUCUGUGGUGUACGUUUGGUUUCUGGCUGAACCAUUUAGAACUGCUCAAAUGGCAGAAGACGACUAGUCAUGCGAUGUAGCACUGGUAGGUGUUUUUCCCCCCUUGCCUUCCUUGUUUACUUUGCUAGUCUUAGCUAUUGCCUA